GUGCUCACUUCAGCAGCACAUAUACUAAAAUUGGAACAAUUCAGAGAAGAUUAUGACCCCUGCGCAAGGAUGACACACAAAUUCGUGAAGCAUUCCAUAUUUAA
Otolemur garnettii (small-eared galago) is the source of this 104-nucleotide small nuclear RNA. The record is from Ensembl. NCBI's taxonomy places the organism in Eukaryota, Metazoa, Chordata, Mammalia, Primates, Galagidae.